GGGGGUGACUUGGUUUCGACUGGAGUAGUCGGGGCUAUGUGCAUGUCGGACUGAGCAAUUCCGUUACGCGGCUCACACGCAUUUAAACGCAAACAACACAGAUUACCGUCCAGCUUACGCCGUAGCGUAAGUCAUUAACCCCGAUUCGUCGGAGGACUGCCCUGCCUGGGAGUGUCACCUUAACAGGACUUGGGGUAUCACAUCUGGUGACUAUGCUCCACGGAAGCUAUGCCGUGGUGUGAGAAUCUUAGCUCGUCUAGCAAAGUUUUGAGUGUGGUACAAAACUAGAUUAAAAUUAACAACACUGACUAAGCAUGUAGAGUCAUAGUUCUAGCUAUUUU
This 341-nucleotide transfer-messenger RNA is filed under the name Sulfurovum sp. Its description in RNAcentral is "partial transfer-messenger RNA". It matches the Rfam family "transfer-messenger RNA". From Rfam's summary of the family: Bacterial tmRNA, also known as 10Sa RNA or SsrA, is named for its dual tRNA and mRNA-like properties. Its role is to liberate the mRNA from a stalled ribosome. Lineage: Bacteria; Pseudomonadati; Campylobacterota; Epsilonproteobacteria; Campylobacterales; Sulfurovaceae. The record is from RNAcentral.